UCUGGAAGAUAAAGGAACACGGGGAGUCAGAAGAAGUCAGGACCCUCCUUCCACUCCUAGAAAAGCAAGAUGAAGGGAAGGGACAGCUGUUAUUCGGGGGGAGGGGGUUGUCUGCAUAGUUUGCAGAGGGUGAGGCCCAGGAGCAGUGACAGAUGGAGGGAAGGUGGCCCAUGUCCUUCUGGCUGGCUCUCUGCAGUGUGGACUUUCUUGCAGUGUGGGGUGUGAGCUUAUAGAGUUGCCUGUGGAAAUGUUGAAUGUGUGGAUUUGCAGGAGUCCUGUGGCCGGUGCUUCCAGUUUCACAACUAUCAGGAAGGUUGGCUUGCUGUCCUUGUAUCCCAUAGCGGUCUGUUCUCUGGGGCUGAUGUCUGGGUUCCAGGGCAGAUCAGCACAGGAUCUUGGCUCGUGACUGAGGUAGACUCUGCCCUUAGCCUUAGAGCUGCACGUGUGUAGGGGACCAUGUUGGAGAAAGCCUUUCCUGAAAUUACCAAGAAAAAGUUAUUUCUCCCUGUUCAGAGGUAGAUCAGCUGCCAGAGCCUUCUGAACCUGCCAAGGACCAUGAUUGGCUGAGAUCAACUCAGGACUCAUCUUCUUGGUGCUGGAGAGGAAGUCACCCUGAGGAUGUACACACAUGGAGAAGGAACUGUGAGCAAUUGGGACUUUGCCAGUAAUAACUGCUGAGGCAAGAAUGGCUGAUGGAUUGUGUAUGGCAGGAUAGGAAGAGCUGUGCUGACAGUAAACCUUGCUACCCGAGUGGCUUAGCACAGCACAUUAAUUCCACAUACAGAGUCUGAGGAAUGCUAGGUAGAAUCUGUUACCCAGCUGGUGACUGGGGCUCUUGCUCCUCUUGGUCCUGCUCUUUGUGAAUCUCCCAGGUCUCCUGUGGCCUCUCAGGUCUCCAUAUGACCUCCCAGGUCUCAUGUGACUUCUUGGGUCUCCAUGUGACUUCUUUGGUCUCCAUGUAUGUGGUCUUCAAGUUCUCCAUAGCAAUGGUAGAAUAUUUAGUUUAUUUUAACAGAUUAUUUCCUUUUAUAUUUUGUAUCUGUGUCUGCCUGUGUGUGUCUGUGGUGACCAUGUCCACAUGAGUGCAGGUGCCCGUGCAUUCAUGGAGGCCAGCAGAGGGCAUAGGAUCCCCUAGAGCUGCUGUGGUAGGAGGCUAUGACCUGCCUGCUACAGGAGCUGAGAACAGAGCUUGGCUUCCCUGCAAGAGUAGUAUUUGCUCUUAACGACCGAGGUAUCCCUUCAGCCUGGAAUCGUAAAUUGCCCAGGAGUGACACAGUUCACGUUUGUCAUUAUGCAUCUGUUAGACAUAGUCCAGUGGCUCCAACCUAACUCAGGGGCUGAUUGUGUGGUAUUAGUGGCCACUUGAGAAUCUCUUGAACAUUGACUGUUUUUCCAUAGCAGGCAAUCAAGAUGCAGAGGCGAUAAAUAAAUCAACAAACAAGCAAGCAAAUAAGUAUAUAAAGGGGAGCUGAACCUAGGGUAACUAAAGGAUGCUGUUAGCAUUGCAAACACUUGCUGGCUGUGUGUGAGACCCUGCUUCCCAUCUUACUGGACUCUCACUGUGUCUGCUCUGGAGAUGAAACUAGGUGACUUGUUCUUUGAGAGACCACUGACCCUGCCAGCUGCAUGGACCUCUGCUCUAUACACUGCUGUCUGAUUGCCUAAGAAGUUUUACAGCCAGACAAGGCAACCUUCUGAUGGACAGAAGGUCACACGGUGGUAUUUUCCUCCUUGCUUGUUUGAAAAAGACUUGAAAGACACUACUCAGUGUUUCAACUGGCAAUUCAAUAUACAGGGGCUUUCUAAACAUGCCGAUGCCAUUGUCUUUCCAUAGUUGGAUUGUUUUCUUGUAUUUUCAAAAAAAUACAUACUGGUGUGAACUAUAGUUGCAGGGGGGAGUCACACCUGUGUUAAAGGUUCUACAAGGCUGAAGGAUUGAAAUGUGUGAUUGUGGAGAAUUAAAAUGUUCUAAGCCAGAGCCAAAUUAUCUUGGGUUAAUUUUAGUCCCUUGGAACGUCUUCAUUGCUGAGUUCUACAUCUGGCCUAACAUCCAGAGGCUACCAAAAUAUUUCAAAUGUGUUCUUGAUAAAUUACUCACAUCUGAGACCUAAAGCAGAUUUCCCCACUUUGAUAGAAACCUGCCCAGCUGUGGUUCCCACCAGUGCAUUGGUAAAUCCCUUGACUUAUUACUUCCUUUGUUCUGUAACUACUUCAUAAUGGAACAUGGUAUUUGAGGCAGCCUGAUUCUGUUUCCCCAGGUCAUGGUCACUCAUAUCUGGCACUAGAAUAAACAACUAUGUUACUUAUUUUAAGAUGAAAGCUGAAUAUUUCCAUACUUUUCUUUCUGCUCUUAUGAUAUCUCCUUUUUCAUGUGACCCUCCUGGGAAGUCAACAAAGAAAGCUUAAAAGAGUACAUCUUUUUAUUUUGUUCUUUGUACCCCACUUCAAUUCCUUUGAGGGUGAUCUUCAGGCUCGGAUUCAGGCCCACCUUAGGUAGAGCACUGCCCCUGACUCUGCUGGUCUUAGUGGGAUUGCCCACUGGGGUGUGAUGGAUUUAGCAUUAUCACGGGUUCCAGUUCUGCACCUGUGAGCGGAGGAACACAGAUGCUCUUGGUUUUGUAUCAGCUGCCAGGGCAAUCGCUCUUCAGUGGAGAGUGGAAGCAGAGAUGGCAUCUAGACGGAAGACACCAUCUUCAAGGGACCUUCGUCAUAUUGAUUCACUUCAGUCUUGACCUUUGGCUCUGUCUUACUUUUUUCCCCUAAUGGUUUCAUCCACAAAGGUGAUGCAUUUUUAAGGUGUAUCGAUGUGUGGUGAGUUUAAGGGGUCCUUGUGAAGUCUGUUAGGCUUGCUGACAACUACGGAGGCUGAAGCAUGGCCGUGGGCAUGCUCUGAAAAGGAGGCUGGUGAUUGGGUUGCUGUUGAGUGAACUGCAGAAUAUUCUUGAAAAAUAGUUUCCCCCUCCCAUCUUGUGACACCGAAGUAGGCAGACAAGCAUGUCCAAAGGCAAGUUAUAAGAAAGAUUAAAAAUUUAUGAGUGGUUUUGCCUCAUUUUUGUACUUAUUCUUAAUAGAUUUUUCCUUUUUAAUACUGUAUGUUGUCUUCAUUUCCUUUCAUCUUUUGAGUAAGAGCACAAUGAAAUGGCCUGCAGACUUGUGAGAUGGAUUUUGUGAACCACUAGCCCAUUUCAUCAACAGGGAACUGCAAAAUAAUUGAAAGAAAUGGCCUUGGAUCUGGUUCAACCUGUUAGAAGUGGGUACACAAUUGAGAAAAAUGGAAAAUGAUACUUAAUUAUGGACAUGUUCCCUGGAAGACCAGAUUCUGUGGAGCCCCAAUGUUUAUACAUUAAUAGCAUCCAUGUGUUCAUUGACUGAGCAAAUAAUUCUACCACAUGAUUGACAUGGCUUUAGAUACGAAUGUUUAAGGAUACUUCAAAAAUGAUUUCUUUCAGUGAAAUAGUCAGUCGGAUAGGAUCAUAUAUAAAAUAACUGUCUUAGUAGUGUAAUGUGAAAGUAUAGAGUGUCCCAGGAACAAUAUUGAACAAAGGAAAUGCAUCUGUAUAGUGCUAUCUAUCUUAUUAUAAGAGAUUGUGGGGAAGCCAGGUGUGUUGGUCCACGCCUUUAAUCCCACCACUAGGGAGGCAGAAGCAGAUGGAUUCUGAGUUUCAGGCUAUCAACUUGGUCUAUAUUGUGAGUUCCAGGAGAGCCAGGGCUUCCUAGUAAGGACCUCUUUCCUAUUAUACAUAGCAGAGGAAUAUGUUGUUUUCUCCUCAGGAUUCUACUGUCGAGGAUUUCUGUAUCACUAUAAAUGACAGGAAAAUUCUACAAGGGGCAUUUUCUUCCCUCCCUUCUACGUUCCUACAGAGUAGGUGAGUGUUUACCCAUGAUAGAGAGCUUGAUCUGCCCUGCACCACUGUUCCCCGCCACAUCCCACACCCCCGAAGCCCCUGGAACACUCCUAAUCCUUCAGGGCCCCAUUCCUAGGUCUCCCAUGUUCUUAAUCUACUAGGUAGGGCUAGACUCGAGGGCAGGCUGAUAGGGCUUUCAUAUUGGUGUAUAUUUGCAGAACUUGCCCUGGUAUAGAGUUGAGGAGUAUGCCAGUAAGAAAUUUGCGUUUGGGGCUUGAGUAUGUGACUCAGUAGAGGACUGACUAACAUGCAUACUGGGCUCCAUCUCUGGCACUGCAUAAAAACAGGUGGGGUGCCACAUGUCUAUAACCUUAAUUUGGGAAGUGGUGGCAGGAGGAUUACGUGUUCAAACUCAUCCUAGGCUACUUUCCUAAUUCAGUUCUCCUCUGGGCUAUAUGAGACCCAGUCUCAAAAAGAAUGGUUUACCUUUUGGCCUUGGAGCUGAGAAAAGUUCUAUAAUUCCUCUUUACCCAAGGACCCUAGUUCUCCAGUGACAGUUAACCAUGCUUAUGUAUGAAAAUUUAGGGGUGUUUCUUUACCAGUUAGAAUGCAGAAGGCAAGCAAGUUAUCCAUAUCCCUGGUGUGUAACUAUCUCAUUUGAUACUUACAAAGAUCCCAUGAGAAGGUUGUGGCAGGGUCAACUCUUCUUACUUUGCAGGCAAUGAGGCAGGUAGAGUGUGUAGAAUAAUAGAAUGCCAGCCACAUGGACAUGCGUUUGAAUUCUGGUUCUGGUGCCUAUGCACCAACUCUCCUAAAGAGGCGUUCCCUAGCUUUAUGGGCCUCCGUUUCUUCCUUUGUCAAACUGAAGCAGUGUCACUAUCUUUACAAGUUCUUUGUGGGAACCAGAUGUUGAAUGCAGAGACUGUCAAGCCAGAUGUCUGAGGCAGAGAAGCCAGUGGUAGGUAUGUGACUGGAUUUGGAGUUGAGACUUGAAGCCAAACCAGAAACCUGAAGGCUCCAGGAUAGUUGAGACUUUGAAGUAUCUCAGUGAACAGUGGGAAGUGGGGGUGGUGUGUGAGUGGCUCUUCCUCCGAGGGACAUUCCACAAUAGAGCACAGCUCUUUGGGACAGUCUUAAGGGCACACUGGCAAAGCCUAAGGUAAGAAUACUGUUUUUCUUGGGAGGCAGAGGCAGGCAGAUCUCUGUGAGUUCGAGGCCACCCUGAUCUCCAGAGCGAGUGCCAGGAUAGGCUCAAGCUACACAGAGGAAACCCUAUCUCGAACCCCCCCCCCAAAAAAAAAAGAAUACUGUUUUUGUUCACAGGAGCUGAGGAGGCCACAAGUCUUUAGAUUGUUCAUUCCCUGAUCAGUGGCACUUUUCUCCUCAGGAAAGAUCCUAAUUCUUCUGAGGGGCCAUUAGUUGCAUGCUAAUCUGUAUGGCAGAGGCAGCCAUGCCUUUAAAUUAUUUCACUUUUUGUCUAUGUGUGUGCACAUAUUAGCACAUAUGUGUAGAGGUCAGAGGUCAAUAUUAGGUGUCUUCCUCUAUCGCUCUCCACCUUUUUUUUUUUUUUUUGCAUCAGUGUCUGUAAUUGAACCUGGAGCACACUCAUUUGUCUACACUGGCAGCCAAGCGAGCUCCAGGGAUGUUUCCAUCUCCACAUCUCCAUUGCUGGGAUUACAGGCAUGAACCGGCACAUUGGGGUUUAAAGGUAGAAUUUGGGAAUGAAACUUAGGUUCCCUUGCUUGUGAAGAGAGUGCCUUGCCAACUGAGCUGUCUCUCAGCCCUGACUGCUUUUCUGUUCAUGGAAUUUCCAGUGUCUACGUUAGAGCCAUGCAUCUUCUGUUGCUCAAUGGAGAUUAGUAAGCAAUGCAUAAAUGAACCCAGGAGCAGAAUUCUUGGAGCUCCAACCAAUGAGAAGACUUGUAAAAUGUGGCAUUUGAGAAAGACCUUGAUGCUGGAAUGGUUUUGUAAGCUAAGCAGGAAAGGACCCGAGUUAGCAAAACUAGCAGCAUUUAUUUGUGUACAUUGAAAGUCUAGGAGAGAGCGGUCCAUCUCAGAGCUAUUUAAGUCACAGCUCGAUGUGUCCAGCAUUAACAUUUAUACCUCACAGGGUAAUGGUGGAGACAGCCAGAGUGUCUCUGAAGUCUCUUCAUCAGCCACAUAAAGUCCGGCUCUGACUUGGGAUUUUCCAGGUUGCUGGUGGCAACAAUACUUCUGAGGAGCUUGCUAUUUAGAGUUAUUUCUUCCUCGCUAAGAAAGCUGGUGGGUACAUGUGGGAGGAAAAAUGGCAAAAUAAAGACCAACUUUGAUGCAUAGACAGGGCCCUCCUACAAAUGCAUCCGAGUCAUAACUGAGCAGUCAUGACACUCUCGAUUAAUUUAAUGAAAUUAAUUUUUUCCAUACCCCUCUUUCUGUGCUACAAAGCACUUUACAGUGAGAGGCAAAAGGAGAUAAUGAGAUAAUGCUUUAUGGAACUACACAGCAGCGAGUUUCCCAUCAUUAGCAAGACAGAGGAAUAAGUUAGAAAUGGUUCGGAUAAGCGAAAACUCUGAAUAGCAGCCAGAGAGACAGGCUGAAGCAAGAUGAGGCUGCUAAAUCUGUUUCUUACUACAGAAGUAGCUGGGCUGCUAGUGGGAUUCUGAAUGUGACGAGGGGCUAAAUACCUGCUCUUUUUAUUCUGUGCCAUCUAUGGAAAACUGUCCACCAUCUUCAGUUCUGCAGUCAUAAAGGUCUGAUUAGAGUGUAAAGAUUACCAGUGUGGUUAUUUGAAUAAGAAUGGCCCUCAUAGUCUCAUGUAUUUAAAUGCUUAGUCACCAGAGAAUGGAACUCUUUGAAAGGACUAGGAAGAUUAGGAGGUGUGGCCUUGUUAGAGGAAAUGUGUCAAGGUGGGUGGCUUUGCCAGGCACAGUGUCAUCUCUGUCCCCCUGUCCAGUGUCCCCCCACCCUUCUGCUGCCCGUGGAUCAGGAUGUAGAACUCUUUUGCAGUCACUUCUCCAGCACUGUGUCUGCCUGCCUGCUGCCAUGCUCUCUGCCAUGGAGACAAUGCAGGAAGCCUCUGAAAUUGUAAGCCAGCCCCAAUUAAGUGCUUUCUUUUAUAAGAAUUGCCCUGGUCAUUGUAUUGUUUGGCUUUAUGUGUCAACUUGACACAAGCUGGAGUCGUUAGAGAGGAAGGAGCCUCAGCUGAGGCAAUGCCUCCAUGAGAUCCAACUGUAAGGCUUUUUCUCAAUCAGUGACCAUUGGAGGAGGGCCCAGCACAUGGUGUGUGUUGCCAUUCCCACCUGGUAGUCCUGGGUUCUAUAAGAAAGCAGGCUGGGAAAGCCAUGGGGAGCAAGCCAGUAAGGAGCACCCAUCCGUGGCCUCUGCAUCAGCUCCUGUCUCUCGGA
Molecule: non-coding RNA, 7228 nt
Organism: Cricetulus griseus (Chinese hamster)
Lineage: Eukaryota; Metazoa; Chordata; Mammalia; Rodentia; Cricetidae
Source: RefSeq, a predicted model, not a curated record